ACAUGAAGCUGGAAUCGCUAGUAAUCGCGGAUCAGAAUGCCGCGGUGAAUACGUUCCCGGGUCUUGUACACACCGCCCGUCACACCAUGGGAGUCGGAAAUGCCCGAAGUCUGUGACCCAACCGGAAGGGAGGAGCAGCCGAAGGCAGGUCUGAUGACUGGGGUGAAGUCGUAACAAGGUAUC
This 183-nucleotide ribosomal RNA is filed under the name uncultured bacterium. RNAcentral's name for it is "partial 16S ribosomal RNA". It matches the Rfam family "Bacterial small subunit ribosomal RNA", at positions 1318 to 1500 of the family's 1533-position model. The record is from RNAcentral.